AGCAGUCGCCACGGUAAAACGGAGGGUGCAAGCGUUAAUCGGAAUUACUGGGCGUAAAGCGCACGCAGGCGGUUUGUUAAGUCAGAUGUGAAAUCCCCGAGCUUAACUUGGGAACUGCAUUUGAAACUGGCAAGCUAGAGUCUUGUAGAGGGGGGUAGAAUUCCAGGUGUAGCGGUGGAAUGCGUGGAGAUCUGGAGGAAUACCGGUGGCGAAGGCGGCCCCCUGGACAAAGACUGACGCUCAGGUGCGAAAGCGUGGGGAGCAAACAGGAUUAGAUACCCGUGUAGUCCCUGUCUCUUAUAC
Molecule: ribosomal RNA, 303 nt
Filed under: uncultured bacterium
Lineage: Bacteria
Description: partial 16S ribosomal RNA
Rfam family: Bacterial small subunit ribosomal RNA
Source: RNAcentral